GCGCUCACUCCAGUAGCUCAUCUACUAAAACUGGACCAAUGCAGAGAAGGUGAGCAUGGCCCCUGCGCAAGGAUGACGUGCACAUUCGUGAAGCGUUCCGUGUUUCC
This 107-nucleotide small nuclear RNA is filed under the name Peromyscus maniculatus bairdii (prairie deer mouse). The record is from RNAcentral. Lineage: Eukaryota; Metazoa; Chordata; Mammalia; Rodentia; Cricetidae.